CUCUUUUCCUCUUUUCCCUCUUUCAUCUUCCAUCGAGAAAUCCUCCAUCGAGCAUCAUCUUCCAUCGAGAAAUCCUCCAUCGAGCGUCAUCUUCCAUCCUGCAGUCUGAUUAGAGAUCACGAAACAUUGCAGAAAGUAGCAGUCUCCCUCUCUGCUACUGUGAUGCUGUGGUGCUGCCAUUGCUGAGAAAAGCAAUUCAAAAUGGAACAAAGGCAGCAAAGAUGCAUAAAAGAGGAAGGAAUCUGAUCAGGUAAUUAGAUUGUUUUGGGGGUAUCUUCAGUGUGCCUUUGUUAUUGACCCAGAAGAUUUUGGCAAUGGCUUCAAUGGACUGGUUUUGCAUCUUUCAACAGACAAUAUCCUCGCUUAUUGUCUAUUGUCUAUUCAAGCUUCUAA
Long non-coding RNA from Magnolia sinica, 393 nucleotides. RefSeq lists it as uncharacterized. The record is from RefSeq and is a predicted model, not a curated record. The transcript has 3 exons. NCBI's taxonomy places the organism in Eukaryota, Viridiplantae, Streptophyta, Magnoliopsida, Magnoliales, Magnoliaceae.